CUUGUGUACAUACUGCGGCCCACGCGAAAAGAAAGGAGAAAAUUCAAAGUGUCAAAUUUGUUACAAGUGAAAAUGAGACUCCCACAACGCCAGUGAUCUACGCAGCUUCCAGCUUUCCUUUAUCAGCAAUUUUCGACCUACUUAGUAGAUAUACAAAUAACUUCCCUUUCCGCUCACCCACCACUUCGGCUGCCUUCUUGAUUAGGGAACCCACUUAUUUAUAUUAUCUUUCUUUUCGAUUUACCGUUUCAGCGGAUGAUGCAUGCAUUUCCUUGUCCACCAGAGUCCUUUUCGUCACCCAACGUUCCUUCGGGAGGACAACCUUCGACUUCUCAUCAAACCUCAACAGCAAUGUCAGCAACGAAAAAGCAGCCUAUAGAGAACUUGCAAGAACUCUUGAUGUCGUCGGAGCGCGGUAGAUUAAUCAUCCAAGAAUAUAAUAAGAAUGACAUUCUGUGCGAUGAUACUCGCAACGAUUUGAUCCAAAUAAUUAUUUUGGAGGCACGCGCUCAGCAUCUCGAUGUGAACAACACUCUGUUCAAGAUCAUGGCGGAGAAAAUAGAAAACUUUUCUCGAACGAGAACCGAACACAAUAUUUUACAUCAGCGGUACCCGGCAUCACGCGUGCCGGCGGCAGAUUUGUUGUGCGCAAGCCGAAAAUUUAUGCAAAGUUUAAGUUUAAUCUGAAGCAGCCAUCCACAGAAGUGGAAAAGUCAACAAUUGAGAACAACGGCAAGCAAGAGGAGUCUAAAACAUGGUUGGAACGCGGACGUACACCGUUGGAGAUGGUUAUCGCGCAUUGGGACGCUUGUUUUGACCUAAGACAAUCCCUAAUAAAAUCUGCAAAAUCGCUACAAGCAGUAGUAAAAGAAUUUCCAAUCAUCACGACAGCU
This is a long non-coding RNA of Culex quinquefasciatus (southern house mosquito), 893 nucleotides long. RefSeq lists it as uncharacterized. The transcript is spliced from 7 exons. Lineage: Eukaryota; Metazoa; Arthropoda; Insecta; Diptera; Culicidae. The record is from RefSeq and is a predicted model, not a curated record.